RNAcentral lists this ribosomal RNA (951 nucleotides) under Leuconostoc mesenteroides. Its description in RNAcentral is "bacterial SSU rRNA". It matches the Rfam family "Bacterial small subunit ribosomal RNA", at positions 45 to 982 of the family's 1533-position model. The record is from RNAcentral. Lineage: Bacteria; Bacillati; Bacillota; Bacilli; Lactobacillales; Lactobacillaceae.
UGCUAUACAUGCAGUCGAACGCACAGCGAAAGGUGCUUGCACCUUUCAAGUGAGUGGCGAACGGGUGAGUAACACGUGGACAACCUGCCUCAAGGCUGGGGAUAACAUUUGGAAACAGAUGCUAAUACCGAAUAAAACUUAGUGUCGCAUGACACAAAGUUAAAAGGCGCUUCGGCGUCACCUAGAGAUGGAUCCGCGGUGCAUUAGUUAGUUGGUGGGGUAAAGGCCUACCAAGACAAUGAUGCAUAGCCGAGUUGAGAGACUGAUCGGCCACAUUGGGACUGAGACACGGCCCAAACUCCUACGGGAGGCUGCAGUAGGGAAUCUUCCACAAUGGGCGAAAGCCUGAUGGAGCAACGCCGCGUGUGUGAUGAAGGCUUUCGGGUCGUAAAGCACUGUUGUAUGGGAAGAACAGCUAGAAUAGGAAAUGAUUUUAGUUUGACGGUACCAUACCAGAAAGGGACGGCUAAAUACGUGCCAGCAGCCGCGGUAAUACGUAUGUCCCGAGCGUUAUCCGGAUUUAUUGGGCGUAAAGCGAGCGCAGACGGUUUAUUAAGUCUGAUGUGAAAGCCCGGAGCUCAACUCCGGAAUGGCAUUGGAAACUGGUUAACUUGAGUGCAGUAGAGGUAAGUGGAACUCCAUGUGUAGCGGUGGAAUGCGUAGAUAUAUGGAAGAACACCAGUGGCGAAGGCGGCUUACUGGACUGCAACUGACGUUGAGGCUCGAAAGUGUGGGUAGCAAACAGGAUUAGAUACCCUGGUAGUCCACACCGUAACGAUGAACACUAGGUGUUAGGAGGUUUCCGCCUCUUAGUGCCGAAGCUAACGCAUUAAGUGUUCCGCCUGGGGAGUACGACCGCAAGGUUGAAACUCAAAGGAAUUGACGGGGACCCGCACAAGCGGUGGAGCAUGUGGUUUAAUUCGAAGCAACGCGAGAACCUUACCAGGUCUU